UGCAGAUAUCAUCGUUUUUGCCGAUGUUCAUGCACUCUGACGACGACUUUAGUGGAGUUUAUCUAACACAAUCAGACUACGAUCUCGUAGCCGCAGCCAUUAGAAAAAACAAGCCGCCGACACAAGCUGAUUUCGAAACACAGACUCUAGUAGAUGUCUCUGGACGACAUUUUGAAGUACCAGAGGCGGCAGAGCCAACCGCAUCAGAGCCAGCGGAACCAAUCGCAUCAGAGUCACGUGCUACCAUUGAGACCAAUCAACUCACGCCCCUCGCCGACCGACAGGAAGUUGUCACGAACAUAGAGGUGGAGCCGGAAGCAUUCACGGACACAGAAUUGGCGGACGCUUUAUCUGCAUACGAAGGCGUGAACCACCCUUAUGAGUCGACAAACAAAGUUAGAGUUAAGCGUCGUGACACAGGGCGAGGGGUUCAAAGAGGAAGGAGGAGGAGGAGGGCGGCAGCCGUCUACAACACGAGCCAUCCACACCGGCACGCGAGAGUCAUCACAAUAAGAAUAGAAGGCGUCCAGUAA
Molecule: long non-coding RNA, 533 nt
Organism: Syngnathus acus (greater pipefish)
Lineage: Eukaryota; Metazoa; Chordata; Actinopteri; Syngnathiformes; Syngnathidae
Exons: 3
Source: RefSeq, a predicted model, not a curated record